Cinara cedri is the source of this 272-nucleotide non-coding RNA. Lineage: Eukaryota; Metazoa; Arthropoda; Insecta; Hemiptera; Aphididae. The record is from the annotation of a GenBank genome assembly.
UUUAUUUUGAAAAAUAACUCAAUAAUAAUUUUAAAAAAAAUGCGUCGAAAUGUGUUAUGCGCCCAAAUGUCUCUCUUCGAAAUUAUCGCGUCGAAAUGACGUGACAUCCAAAAUUGUAUACUUUAUGUAAACAAAAGAAAGAAAAAUAUGGGGUCUAACCUAUCUACGAGUAUACACACCUAAGUGAAAUAUCACCUAUAUGUAUUAUAAAUUGUUUUUUUAACAGAAAAUAUGUUGUAAACGAUUUCAAUUUUCAGGCAUUUUAUGCAAGG